Molecule: long non-coding RNA, 186 nt
Filed under: Mustela putorius furo (domestic ferret)
Lineage: Eukaryota; Metazoa; Chordata; Mammalia; Carnivora; Mustelidae
Description: lncRNA (ENSMPUG00000028097.1)
Source: RNAcentral
CUAGAAUCCACCCACCAUCAGCCUGGUCCUGGAACCGAGCGGAACUCAGUCCUCAGCUCCCUUGAGGUAGAGAUCACAAGUAGGCAGAGAGAGAGAGAGAGAGAGGGAAGCAGGCUCCCCGCUGAGGAGAGAACUGGAUGCGGAACUCCAUCCCCGGACCCCGAGAUCAUGACCUGAGACGAAGGC